ACGCCUUCUCCAGGUUUGGGUCCUGAUGUUUCCAAGAUGUCAUCGUGAGAUCACAGCCAGGCCCCUCAGUCUUGAUCUUCUGAUGCUAUGCUCAGCACUGUGAAGGUUCAGGGGGCAGCUAGAGCUGAAAACAUUCAUGAAGCAAGCUGAGUGUCGCUUCCACAGAGAGCAACUCUGUCCUCACCCCACAAAUCACGGGACUGCUUAGCGCUUCCCUGCAACAGCCACCCCUUAUUCUCUCCCAGCUGUGGUCAGGAACUGGACCACACCAGUCUGCUCAGGGUCUCUCUGAGAGCCUGGGCAUCAUGGAUUCCACUGGCCCCAGGGAUCCUUCCGUGUCUACCUCCCCAAAGCUAAGAUUGCAGGCGCACACUGCUGCAAUGACCUUUUACAUAUGUGUUGGGGAUCUGAACUCAGGUCCUAUGCUUGCACCACAAGAACUCUACCAACUGAGCCACACACCGCACCCCCAGUUCCUAUUCUGACCAUCUUGAUUCAGCCUGGGGGGAACUAUGGAACAGCCUGACUUCCAAGCAAGGGAGAAGUAACUGGGUAGGAUCCUGGAGACUGGCUUCACACCAUGUGGAACUCAACAGCAAACACAAGGAACAAUUUACCAUUCAGGAACUACUUUCAAAGAAUUUAGUUGAGCAUUCACAGAAGUGACUGUUUUUUGCAUCUGCAUCUAUGGAGCAGAUAUACCAUCUUGUGCAUCGUGUGCUAACAAGCACAGUUCAUACCAGCAGUUUGGGAGCAGAAUCAACUGAAUCUUCUCUUGAAGAGACCAGGGGCAGAGGAGGGCGCAGAGGUCAAGAGCACCGACUGCUCUUCCAGAAGACACCAGUUCAAUUCCCAGCACCCACGUG
Myodes glareolus (Bank vole) is the source of this 866-nucleotide non-coding RNA. The record is from RefSeq and is a predicted model, not a curated record. NCBI's taxonomy places the organism in Eukaryota, Metazoa, Chordata, Mammalia, Rodentia, Cricetidae.